GACGGAGCAACGCCGCGUGCGGGAUGACGCCUUUCGGGGUGUAAACCGCUGUUCGUGGGGACGAAGCACUGACGGUACCCACGGAGGAAGGCCCGGCUAACUACGUGCCAGCAGCCGCGGUAAUACGUAGGGGCCGAGCGUUGUCCGGAGUUACUGGGCGUAAAGCGUGCGCAGGCGGUCUGUCGCGCCCGGCGUGAAAGCCCCCGGCUCAACCGGGGAGGGUCGUCGGGGACGGGCAGACUUGAGGGCAGCAGGGGCUGGUGGAAUUCCCGGUGUAGUGGUGAAAUGCGUAGAGAUCGGGAGGAACACCCGUGGCGAAGGCGGCCAGCUGGGCUGACCCUGACGCUGAGGCACGAAGGCGUGGGGAGCGAACGGGAUUAGAUACCCCGGUAGUCCACGCAGUAAACGAUGCAGACUAGGCGUGGGGGGACUUGACCCCCUCCGUGCCGGAGCUAACGCGGGAAGUCUGCCGCCUGGGGAGUACGGCCGCAAGCGUA
RNAcentral lists this ribosomal RNA (497 nucleotides) under uncultured bacterium. Its description in RNAcentral is "bacterial SSU rRNA". It matches the Rfam family "Bacterial small subunit ribosomal RNA", at positions 385 to 896 of the family's 1533-position model. The record is from RNAcentral.